Molecule: transfer RNA, 62 nt
Filed under: Orthopagus splendens
Lineage: Eukaryota; Metazoa; Arthropoda; Insecta; Hemiptera; Dictyopharidae
Description: tRNA-Met
Source: RNAcentral
AAAAAGAUAAGCUAAAAAAGCUAAUGGGUUCAUACCCCAUUCAUGAUUAAAAUCUCUUUUUA